This is a non-coding RNA of Termitomyces sp. T159_Od127, 85 nucleotides long. The record is from the annotation of a GenBank genome assembly. NCBI's taxonomy places the organism in Eukaryota, Fungi, Basidiomycota, Agaricomycetes, Agaricales, Lyophyllaceae.
UCGGAUAUGGUGUAACGGCUAACAUUGCCGCCUCUCAUCACCUUGUAUCACGCGGCAGCUCGGGGUUCGAUUCCCCGUAUCCGAA